Non-coding RNA from Pelobates cultripes (western spadefoot toad), 211 nucleotides. The record is from the annotation of a GenBank genome assembly. NCBI's taxonomy places the organism in Eukaryota, Metazoa, Chordata, Amphibia, Anura, Pelobatidae.
AAAUCUUAUUUUUAAAUAUGAGUCAGUUUCAAUUAGUUUGUUGUAUACCUGUGUACACAUGAUGUUCCAUUAAUAUUUUUUUAAUUGCACGCUAUGGUGACCAGUCAUUUGUAAAUCCUUUGUUUCAGUACAUAAAAAUCACUGUAUGCCAUUUUAUUCUACCAGUUUGCCAUCCUAUCUGCAGUGCUGCUUUCUGGAAAGUGAUAACAAU